UACGGAGGGUGCAAGCGUUAUCCGGAUUCACUGGGUUUAAAGGGUGCGUAGGUGGGCAGGUAAGUCAGUGGUGAAAUCUCUGAGCUUAACUCAGAAACUGCCGUUGAUACUAUCUGUCUUGAAUAUAGUGGAGGUGAGCGGAAUAUGUCAUGUAGCGGUGAAAUGCUUAGAUAUGACAUAGAACACCCAUUGCGAAGGCAGCUCGCUACACUAUCAUUGACACUGAGGCACGAAAGCGUGGGGAUCAAACAGG
This 253-nucleotide ribosomal RNA is filed under the name uncultured bacterium. RNAcentral's name for it is "partial 16S ribosomal RNA". It matches the Rfam family "Bacterial small subunit ribosomal RNA", at positions 524 to 776 of the family's 1533-position model. The record is from RNAcentral.